UAACACGUGGGUGACCUGCCCUUAGCUCUGGGAUAAGCCUGGGAAACUGGGUCUAAUACCGGAUAUGACCUCAUGACUCAUGUUGUGGGGUGGAAAGCCUUGUGCGGCUAGGGAUGGGCCCGUGGCCUAUCAGCUUGUUGGUGGGGUAAUGGCCCACCAAGGCGACGACGGGUAGCUGGUCUGAGAGGAUGGCCAGCCACAUUGGGACUGAGAGACGGCCCAG
Molecule: ribosomal RNA, 223 nt
Filed under: uncultured bacterium
Lineage: Bacteria
Description: partial 16S ribosomal RNA
Rfam family: Bacterial small subunit ribosomal RNA
Source: RNAcentral